CUGGGAUAAGCCCGGGAAACUGGGUCUAAUACCGGAUAUAACCACUGGUCUCAUGAUCGGGUGGUGGAAAGUUUUUCGGUUGGGGAUGGGCUCGCGGCCUAUCAGCUUGUUGGUGGGGUGAUGGCCUACCAAGGCGACGACGGGUAACCGGCCUGAGAGGGCGACCGGUCACACUGGGACUGAGACACGGCCCAGACUCCUACGGGAGGCAGCAGUGGGGAAUAUUGCGCAAUGGGCGGAAGCCUGACGCAGCGACGCCGCGUGAGGGAUGACGGCCUUCGGGUUGUAAACCUCUUUCAGCAGGGACGAAGCUAACGUGACGGUACCUGCAGAAGAAGCGCCGGCUAACUACGUGCCAGCAGCCGCGGUAAUACGUAGGGCGCAAGCGUUGUCCGGAAUUAUUGGGCGUAAAGAGCUCGUAGGCGGUUUGUCGCGUCUGUCGUGAAAGCCCACGGCUUAACCGUGGGUCUGCGGUGGAUACGGGCAGACUAGAGGCAGGUAGGGGAGAAUGGAAUUCCCGGUGUAGCGGUGAAAUGCGCAGAUAUCGGGAGGAACACCGGUGGCGAAGGCGGUUCUCUGGGCCUGUACUGACGCUGAGGAGCGAAAGCGUGAGGAGCGAACAGGAUUAGAUACCCUGGUAGUCCACGCCGUAAACGUUGGGCGCUAGGUGUGGGGUCCUUCCACGGAUUCCGCGCCGCAGCUAACGCAUUAAGCGCCCCGCCUGGUGAGUACGGCCGCAAGGCUAAAACUC
RNAcentral lists this ribosomal RNA (751 nucleotides) under Actinomadura maheshkhaliensis. RNAcentral describes it as "bacterial SSU rRNA". It matches the Rfam family "Bacterial small subunit ribosomal RNA", at positions 138 to 902 of the family's 1533-position model. The record is from RNAcentral. Lineage: Bacteria; Bacillati; Actinomycetota; Actinomycetes; Streptosporangiales; Thermomonosporaceae.